Molecule: ribosomal RNA, 1351 nt
Filed under: uncultured marine eukaryote
Lineage: Eukaryota
Description: SSU rRNA
Rfam family: Eukaryotic small subunit ribosomal RNA
Source: RNAcentral
CACUUCUAAGGAAGGCAGCAGGCGCGCAAAUUACCCAAUCCUGACUCAGGGAGGUAGUGACAAGAAAUAACAAUAAACCGGCUUAUGCCGGUUUAAUUGGAAUGAGUACAAUUUAAACAUCUUAACGAGGAACAAUUGGAGGGCAAGUCUGGUGCCAGCAGCCGCGGUAAUUCCAGCUCCAAUAGCGUAUACUAAAGUUGUUGCAGUUAAAAAGCUCGUAGUUGGAUUUCUGUGGGGACGGAGCGGCCGGCCGCAACACGCGGUUCGAGCUAGCGCUUUCCCUACAUCCUGCCGCGAACCGUGCUACCAUUAGUUUGGUGGCGCCGGGGAUCGGCUCGAUUACUUUGAGAAAAAUAGAGUGUUCAAAGCAGGCCACACGCCUUGAAUAAGUUAGCAUGGAAUAAUAACUAAGGACUUCGGUUCUAUUUUGUUGGUGUUCGGGACUGAAGUAAUGAUUGAUAGGGACAGUUGGGGCGGUCUGUAUUCCAAAGCGAGAGGUGAAAUUCUUAGACCUUCGGAAGACAAACAGCUGCGAAAGCGUUCCGCAAGGAUGUUCCCUUUGAUCAAGAACGAAAGUUGGGGGAUCGAAGACGAUCAGAUACCGUCGUAGUCUCAACUAUAAACUAUACCAGCUAGGGAUCGGCCAACGUUAUUCUAUACCGACUUGGUCGGCACCUUAUGAGAAAUCAAAGCAUCUGGGUUCCGGGGGGAGUAUGGUCGCAAGGCUGAAACUUAAAGGAAUUGACGGAAGGGCACCACCAGCCGUGGAGCCUGUGGCUUAAUUUGACUCAACACGGGAAAACUUACCAGGUCCAGACAUAGUAAGGAUUGACAGAUUGAUAGCUCUUUCUUGAUUCUGUGGGUGGUGGUGCAUGGCCGUUCUUAGUUGGUGGAGUGAUUUGUCUGGUUAAUUCCGUUAACGAACGAGACCCCAGCCUGCUAAAUAGCGCGCGUGAGCUUUGCUCGCGGCGAGCUUCUUAGAGGGACUAUGAUGCGCGAUAGCACAUGGAAGUUUGGGGCAAUAACAGGUCUGUGAUGCCCUUAGAUGUUCUGGGCCGCACACGGGCUACACUGGCGCCUGCAACGAGCAUAUCAGCUGGCCCGAGAGGGUCUUGGCUAAUCUUUUGAACCGGCGCCGUGCUUGGGAUUGACCUUUGCAAUUGUUGGUCAUGCAACGAGGAAUGCCUUGUAAACGCGAGUCGUCAGCUCGCAUUGAAUACGUCCCUGCCCUUUGUACACACCGCCCGUCGCUCCUACCGAUGAAUGUUCCGAUGAAAUUUUCGGAGAGUGCCUGUGAACUUGGCUCUGCCUUGCGAACGGGAAGCUCAAAGUCACUUAAAUCUGAACAUUU